GAUGAACGCUAGCUACAGGCUUAACACAUGCAAGUCGAGGGGCAGCAUGAAAGUUUGCUUGCAAACUUUUGAUGGCGACCGGCGCACGGGUGAGUAACACGUAUCCAACCUGCCUCAUACUCGGGGAUAGCCUUUCGAAAGAAAGAUUAAUACCCGAUGUUAUAGUCCUACCGCAUGAUGGGAUUAUUAAAGAAUUUCGGUUAUCGAUGGGGAUGCGUUCCAUUAGUUAGUUGGCGGGGUAACGGCCCACCAAGACGACGAUGGAUAGGGGUUCUGAGAGGAAGGUCCCCCACAUUGGAACUGAGACACGGUCCAA
This 316-nucleotide ribosomal RNA is filed under the name uncultured bacterium. Its description in RNAcentral is "bacterial SSU rRNA". It matches the Rfam family "Bacterial small subunit ribosomal RNA", at positions 28 to 334 of the family's 1533-position model. The record is from RNAcentral.